This is a long non-coding RNA of Alosa alosa (allis shad), 664 nucleotides long. RefSeq lists it as uncharacterized. Lineage: Eukaryota; Metazoa; Chordata; Actinopteri; Clupeiformes; Clupeidae. The record is from RefSeq and is a predicted model, not a curated record. The transcript has 4 exons.
ACUUCCUGUUAUCUUAACGUUACCUUCGAUCUGGUGAUGGGAAGCUGUCUGCUGAGAUAAGACGAUACGUUGGAAUCAUACCCAAACCCAUCAACACAAUAAGGGAUGUGCGACUGUAGCUGAUGUUGAGUCUUCCAAGCCUACCUGUGACGCCUCGCCUGAUAUUACUAGGUGAACGACAAGGUAAUCAUCAAAAGUGGAUGGUCAGCAUUGAAUCCUUAAUCGUUUGUGAAGGGUCCAACCUCGCCACAUUUCUAACAGGGAUUGCGACAUGUUUCUCCACCUUCUAUAUUCUGAAUCUGCAAUAUCAGGAGGAGGCAGCGUGCACCCUUGAAUUCUUCCAGAGAAAAAGGCCCAGAAGAAGCCUAAGAACAAUCACUAAUAAGUAAAGUGAAUGUUACUUGAUUUCUCAUGAAUGUUACUUGAUUCCCUCCCUGAUUAUCAUUUAUACUCAUCUCUUACUUUAAAUUCUUCUGGACAUAAUCUGUCAGUUUAUUCAUUCUCACAUGUACACAAGGCCAAUGCGAUGCAAUGAUAUUGAUAAUUGAUAAAUAUCUGUGAUGAUUAUUCUGUAUCUUAUUUGAUUUUGAAAUAGUACUACUUUAGAUAACAUGUCUACAUUUUACAUACAUAAGUGAUACACAAGCCUAAUGCGAUGUUUUUA